RNAcentral lists this ribosomal RNA (468 nucleotides) under uncultured bacterium. RNAcentral's name for it is "partial 16S ribosomal RNA". It matches the Rfam family "Bacterial small subunit ribosomal RNA", at positions 28 to 507 of the family's 1533-position model. The record is from RNAcentral.
GACGAACGCUGGCGGCGUGCUUAACACAUGCAAGUCGAACGGAAAGGCCCUGCUUUUGUGGGGUGCUCGAGUGGCGAACGGGUGAGUAACACGUGAGUAACCUGCCCUUGACUUUGGGAUAACUUCAGGAAACUGGGGCUAAUACCGGAUAGGAGCUCCUGCUGCAUGGUGGGGGUUGGUAAGUUUCGGCGGUUGGGGAUUGACUCGCGGCUUAUCAGCUUGUUGGUGGGGUAGUGGCUUACCAAGGGUUUGACGGGUAGCCGGCCUGAGAGGGUGACCGGCCACAUGGGGACUGAGAGACGGCCCAGACUCCUACGGGAGGCAGCAGUGGGGAAUAUGGCACAAUGGGCGGAAGCCUGAUGCAGCAGCGCCGCGUGCGGGAUGACGGCCUUCUGGUUGUAAACCGCUUUCUCCGGUGACGAAGCGUGAGUGACGGUAAUGGGUAAAGAAGCACCGGCUAACUACGUG